Molecule: long non-coding RNA, 2398 nt
Organism: Balaenoptera musculus (blue whale)
Lineage: Eukaryota; Metazoa; Chordata; Mammalia; Artiodactyla; Balaenopteridae
Exons: 6
Source: RefSeq, a predicted model, not a curated record
CUCUCAGACUCUUGAGCGCCGGCCCCAGGAUGACAAACACAUCCCAGGCGCGCCGAUCUCUUCCAACUUUCCUCCCCUGCUAAGUCGGGGUGGAGCGGCGGUUCCGACACAAGGCGGGCCCUGAUGGCCGGUCCCGCCGCUUCGAAGCACAAAGGGAACGAGGCCGCGGACCGCGCGCCAGCGAAAGCUCUGCUUUCUGUACGCCGCAGUAAAUCGCGGAGUUAGCGGAUUUCUUGUUCGCCAGAAGGCUGGGCUCCAAGGCAGAUCACCGCCCACCCGCCCCUGGCUUCUCCCCCAAGCUAGGGGACCCGAGAGCGAGUUGGAUACCCGGAAUGAAGGCCCCCGAGAGAGCCGGAUGGAUGCCAGCGUCCAGGGCGCAGGGAGUCCGGGGUGACUGUCCCUCUCCGCCAGCAGCAGCAGGUGGGCGAGAGACAGGCCUUGGACAUCUGCACGUCUCCGGCCCGGCCUCCCUUCCACCAACUCCCCGCCAGACGGCGAGGGAGGAGGCACUGGGGACCCAGUACUACGGGGGUAGCCUUUCUCUAGAGAGGUAGUGGGCAAGAGCUGCCAGACGGAAAAGCAGCUACAUCGGAGUAGGUCUUCGGACUCCACUACACCCCCUCCCGCAAUGCCUGGCUGCCUCUUUCUCGGGGCUUUGCAUUAUCCGCAGCUCGCCCCGCCAGGCCGGUGGUGGUGGAGAGUGCGGGUCCUCUUCCCCUUCGCACCCACUCUCGCAUCCGCCCACGCUCCACUGCUAACAUUGCGGAGCAGUAACCAACCCCACCACCGUUUGUUCAGCGAGGCGCUGGCAAGGCAAACACACACAACCGAGUCACAGGCCGAGCCCUUGCCCACGAAGGCCACACAUUUAGAAUACAAAACAGACCCUUUGCCUGUCUCUCCACACCGCGCCGCCACAAGCCACAGAAGCACUCGAACUCUGGGACAGACAGGGGCGCUGGUGAACCAGGACAGGGGCUGGCACAGUGUUGGGCACUCCGCUGGGGCCCAGUAGAUCGGGGAUUUUGUGGCCUUUUAUAAUGAGGUCACACGGAAGCCGAAGUAUGCCUAUACACAAAGUUUCCCUCAAUGACUCUGACGGGAGAGAUACACUUUUAUUUCCUGAGCUCCAAACCCUCCACACAAACCCACUCUCCACAACCGCACACUCUCCGCAGCGCGACUUCACGCACGCGCGCUGACUCCUCCCCUCCGUCAGUUCCCUCCAGGCUCCGCCCCUCAGGCAGACGUCCUCCUACAACCGCUCAAUCCUCCCGGCCCCAUCCCUCCCGGCUUUCACCUCUAAUUGGACGCUGGCCUCUAUUGGCUCCGCCCUUCGGCGACGUGAGCCCGCUUUCCUCCGAGUAACGGCGCCGAGGGGGCGGGGCUGGGCGGGGCGACGGCGCGCUAUUGUCAUGGAGACGGGAAGCCGGCGGCGGCGGUGGCGGGAACAGCCAGGCUGAGGUGGCAGCGAGCCGGCCGAGACUGAGGCGAGGCCGAGCGCCCUGGAGCGCGCGGAGCCGGCCAGUGGCGGCCUCUCAGGCAGCCAAGGGGCAGUGUCUUCCGGGGCUCGGGCAACGCCCGGGUGGUCGCGGGGAGUGCCCCGAAGCGUCCCCGCUCUGCUCGCAUCGCUCCCGCCUCUCGCGGCCCCUCAGCUCCCCAGCGUCCGCCCCCCGGCUCCGCCCGCCGCCGGCUCCGCCCGCCGCCGCCGCCGCCGCCGCAGCCCUUCGCGCUAAAGGUCGGUAGCGGCCCGCGCGCGCCGCCCGCCGGGAGCUCGCGCCAGCCACGAGGGAGCGUCCGCGGCCCGCGCGCCCGCGCCGUGGAGGAGAGCUCAUGAUUUCCUGGAAGCUGGCUGUCCAUCAGUGUGUAUGUAAGAUGUGUUUUAAGUAUGAUGUUUCCGUAAUACAUUUGGAUGUUUUCAGCUAAGCUCACUUCUGAACUAUGGGGUUCCUCCAAAUGUUGACUGAAAUUUGUCCUUGUGCACCCCCAGGCUCAUCUGCAAAAUCUACAGUCCAUAAUGGAGCUACUGUACUGGCUAUUGGAAGAAGGAGAUUCUGAAGAUAGGGAGUUCAUCAAGAAGCCAAAGAUCUUAUGCCUGACUAAGUAUCUCCAUUAUCUAACUUGAUUCAGCUAUCAGUCUGAAAUUUCCUGUGGUCUGUUCAGUCUAGAUGCAAAGGCCAUGGAAAAAUCAAGUGCUCAAGUGGUUUAAAUAUGUUUUGGAUGUUCUUAUUUAUAGAUUACAGUAUUUUUCCACUUAAAAUCCACAGUUGUCAUGCAGAAGAAGGUUAUGCCCUUCUAGAUCACCAAUUUUAUUUGACGUGCUUAGCGUUGUAAUGUAUUACCAAAUGCUAUCUGUUUUAAUCAAAGUAUAGAAAAAAUAAAAUCAAUUUUAUAUGUU